CCUACGGGAGGCUGCAGUGAGGAAUAUUGGUCAAUGGCCGAGAGGCUGAACCAGCCAUGCCGCGUGAAGGUCAGUUGCCUAUUGGCGUUUAACUUCUUUUGUUCGGGGGCAAUAAUGAUCACGUUUGGCCAGACGAGAGUACCGUACGAAUAAGCAUCGGCUAACUCCGUGCCAGCAGCCGCGGUAAUACGGGGGAUGCAAGCGUUAUCCGGAUUUAUUGGGUUUAAAGGGAGCGUAGAUGGGUUGUUAAGUCAGUUGUGAAAGUUUGCGGCUCAACCGUAAAAUUGCAAUUGAUACUGGCAGUCUUGAGUACAGAUGAGGUAGGCGGAAUUCGUGGUGUAGCGGUGAAAUGCUUAGAUAUCACGAAGAACCCCGAUUGCGAAGGCAGCUUACUAAACUGUCACUGACAUUGAUGCUCGAAAGUGUGGGUAUCAAACAGGAUUAGAUACCCUUGUAGUC
Molecule: ribosomal RNA, 459 nt
Filed under: uncultured bacterium
Lineage: Bacteria
Description: partial 16S ribosomal RNA
Rfam family: Bacterial small subunit ribosomal RNA
Source: RNAcentral